RNAcentral lists this long non-coding RNA (811 nucleotides) under Olea europaea subsp. europaea. Lineage: Eukaryota; Viridiplantae; Streptophyta; Magnoliopsida; Lamiales; Oleaceae. The record is from RNAcentral.
UGACUGGGCCUCUGUCUGCUGCUUCAGCUCCGCCUUUUCUCUGUUAGAGGCCUCCAGAGCAUCGGUGGCGAGCUUGUGGUGCUCGUUCGCGUGGUCAAGUCGCCGAGUUACCGCAGCCACCUGGCACUCCACUUCGUAGAGCUCUUUCUUCAGCCGCUCCACCUCUGCCUGCGAAGCAGCGAGCUGAACCUCAGCAGCUCUCUUCCCCUCCUCUGCCUUGGUGGCUUUGGCCUGGGCAGCUCGCACAGCGUCCCCAUAGUGCAUCGCCUCCUCGAGGCGCUUGGCAAGGUCCUCCCUCUUGGAGUUUAGAUCCUUCACCAAGCCCUCGAGCUGGAUACUUGUGCUUAGUGCCCGGGCCACACAGGCGCUGUUCGCCGCCACCAAGUCUUCAGCCGUGCAGGAGGCGGUGUGGUCCCUCCACUCUUCAGUCCAAUAUUUGUUGUGGACCACCGCCAUCGCAGUUGUCUCCGGAGGGAGAGCCUCCAACACCUCCCUUACGGGCUCCUCUUGGUUGGUGCCCAGGAAAUCAACCUCUUUGCUAGAGCGGGCCCUUUUUCUCCUCUACUGCCCCGGAACUUGUUCAAUGGGUACGGCCGCAAGGGGCGCUGUGCCCGGGGCAGCGACAGGCUCUGCCGCAACGGGGCUUCUCUCCGGAAGGGCCACCCCCGUAGGAAUAGUUGUUUGCCUCAAAACUGGGGGUGGCCUCGCCACAGUUGGGCGUCUGGGCGGGGCAGCACUCUUCUUGCCCUUCCUUCGGAGGUCAGCCUCCGGGUCCUCCUGAACCUCCUCCUCCAUCGGAGGCUGAAGCCUC